UACAGAGGUCCCAAGCGUUGUUCGGAAUUACUGGGCGUAAAGCGCACGUAGGCGGCUUUGUAAGUUAGAGGUGAAAGCCUGGAGCUCAACUCCAGAACUGCCUUUAAGACUGCAUCGCUUGAAUCCAGGAGAGGUGAGUGGAAUUCCGAGUGUAGAGGUGAAAUUCGUAGAUAUUCGGAAGAACACCAGUGGCGAAGGCGGCUCACUGGACUGGUAUUGACGCUGAGGUGCGAAAGCUAGGGGAGCAAACAGG
This 253-nucleotide ribosomal RNA is filed under the name uncultured bacterium. RNAcentral's name for it is "partial 16S ribosomal RNA". It matches the Rfam family "Bacterial small subunit ribosomal RNA", at positions 524 to 776 of the family's 1533-position model. The record is from RNAcentral.